RNAcentral lists this ribosomal RNA (433 nucleotides) under uncultured bacterium. RNAcentral describes it as "partial 16S ribosomal RNA". It matches the Rfam family "Bacterial small subunit ribosomal RNA", at positions 28 to 507 of the family's 1533-position model. The record is from RNAcentral.
GGCGAACGCCGGCGGCAGGCUUAACACAUGCAAGUCGAGCGGUCCUUUCGGGGUCAGCGGCGGACGGGUGAGUAACGCGUGGGAACGUGCCCUCUGGUUCGGAAUAACUCAGGGAAACUUGAGCUAAUACCGGAUACGCCCUUUUGGGGAAAGGCUUGCUGCCGGAGGAUCGGCCCGCGUCUGAUUAGCUAGUUGGUGAGGUAACGGCUCACCAAGGCGACGAUCAGUAGCUGGUCUGAGAGGAUGAUCAGACACACUGGGACUGAGACACGGCCCAGACUCCUACGGGAGGCAGCAGUGGGGAAUAUUGGACAAUGGGAGCAAGCCUGAUCCAGCCAUGCCGCGUGAGUGAUGAAGGCCUUAGGGUUGGAAAGCUCUUUUAUCCGGGACGAUAAUGACGGUACCGGAGGAAUAAGCCCCGGCUAACUUCGUG